RNAcentral lists this ribosomal RNA (624 nucleotides) under Triticum aestivum (bread wheat). RNAcentral describes it as "partial small subunit ribosomal RNA". The record is from RNAcentral. Lineage: Eukaryota; Viridiplantae; Streptophyta; Magnoliopsida; Poales; Poaceae.
AUGCAACCUGCUUUCCUUCUUGCAUGGCUACUCCUGGUACCAUAUAUGCCUUUUGGGUUAAAAAGCAUUCGACCCACUUUUGCAAGAGCAGUACAGACUAGCUUUGAGUCCCAGCUGCACAAGAAUAUUGAAACCUACAUGGUCGAUAUAGUGGUCAAAACCAAGGACAAAUCGUCUCUCAUUCAUGACUUGGAAGAGACCUUUGGAAAUCUAUGCAAGAUCAACUUGAAGCUGAACCCAGAGAAGUGUGUGCUUGGCGUUCCUUCCGGCAAGCUACUUGGCUUCUUUGUCUCCGACCAGGGGAUAGAGGCCAACCCCGACAAUAUCGAGGCGAUUGAGCAGAUUGAAGCACCCAAGACAGUUAAAGAUGUGAGGCGUUCGACUGGAUGUGUUGCCGCGUUGAGCGGGUUCAUUUCCAAGACUUCCAAGCACACCCUGCCGUUCUUCAAAAUAUUGAAGAAGGUAGGGCAGGUGGAGUGGACCCCAAAGGCAGAUGUUGUGCUGCAAGGUUUGAAGACCUAUCUUUCCUCUGUUUCCACCGUAGUCGCUCCUAAACCACAAGAGCCAUUGUUGCUAUACCUAGAGGCAACUAAUCAAGUGGUUAGUGCAACGUUGGUUGCAUAG